UGGAAUGCUCCCGAGUCCUCAGUAUGAGUCUGAAAUGCCUACCGGGCCCUCAGCUCAUAUCUGGAAUACUCUAGGGUUUGUUGGCUACCACACGGAGCAGUACCACCUCAACCCAUCCCACAUAACAUGUCGACAUGUAACAGAUAAAUGCACAUACAGGUAAUAAAUCAGUGUCACAGGUAGUUCUACAGACCUACCCUCUAGCAUAUCAACUAGCAUGUGUAACCAACUCAUACUCAACAUAAUACAACUACUAGGAUAUCACAUUCAAUCGGUCGGCCUUGGUGCCUUAGACCCCUUAGUAUAGCGAGGAUAACUCACCUGACACUGUUGAAGUCCCGUAGACACAAUCAUACACUACUUAAGUUCCGCAAACUCAACCCCAGCUGUUGGAUGACAGAUUCCCGAACUGUUAACACCAACAUAACACCCAAUUAAUAAUUGGAUCCCAACACAUAACCAUAAAUGCAUCCUUGGAUAAUUACUACAUGACCCCAAGGUCCGCUUCAUUCAAGCCCAAGGCCCAACCCAUAGGCCCAAAGUCAACUGGGAAUCAAGGCCCAACUUAUGGCCCAAUUUUCCAAAUUAGGCCCAAGCUUUACAUGGUCUUAUUCUAAGGCCCAACAUCAUAUGAUCAUUAAGGCCCAGGCUAUGGCCCUUCUAUGGCCCAAUUUUCCAAAUUAGGCCCAAACCACUUACAUGGGCCUUAUCCCAAAGCCCAUUAAUUAUUCUAGUCCAUUUGUUUAGUCUUGUAUAGCCCAUUUAAUAACCCAAUCAUCAAGGCCCAAUAGAAAUGCCUAAUAAUAAACCCAAGUGAAAUUAGCGUUUCACAUAAAAUGAUGAUUAGGGUUAAGUUUCCUACUUAACCCAUUAAGGAAUUAAUCCACUAAGUCCCUCACUUUACUAAAUAAGUCAUAUGGUGUGCUUGAGCUUAAUACACAAUUCCAUUCCAAUGGUCCAAAUGUGGGUCCCGAUAAGUCCAAGCCCAUAAUCCCAAAAUUAGGGUUUUCAUAUGAAAUGAUGAUUAGGGUUAAGUGUUUCUCACUUAACCCAUUAAGGACUUAAUCCAUUAAGUGCAUUAUUUUUUUGUGCUAGUUUGCCAAUGAUUAUUAAUUAUUACUUAGGUUUAAUAAUUAAUUCUUGUGUGUGUCCCAAACGAUUCCCAUAAUUAGGGUUUUAUGCCCUUAGAGUCUUCCUAACCCUAAUUAGGGUUUUUUUUCCAACCCAAUACUAUCCCAUUAGUUCAUUGGUUGGGCUUUUAGGUCACAUUGGGCCUUAUUGGCCCAUUAGGGUUCCAUUGGGCCCACUAGGGCUUCUUUGGGCCCAUUAGGGUUCCAUUGAUUCCACAGUGUCCAAACAUCCCCCAAACGAGGUCCACACGCAAUCAAGCACACACCGCCACCCGGCACGGCGGCAGGAGGCGGCAACCACCACCUCACGGUAGUGGUUUCAAGUUUUUCUAUUAUUAUUCCGACAUCGAUUACAGUUUACAACCAAAUCCGAAUGACACACUCACACACUAAUCAAAUAAAAUACACACACACAGUGGCUUAUGGUGGCAGCAGGUGGUGGUCUCUUGAUUUUUCCGGCCAACUAGCCACACGCACACACACUGACACGUUUUGCUUGUAAACUGGACCCAACCACCCACCUGGUGGCGUUUGGCGAUGGAGAGGGCAUGAGACGGCGGGCAGCAGCGGCACUGUCGAUGACAACAACACUCCACAACCACACGGAGCGGCGACUACGAUGGCGCAUCAACAGAAAAGGGAAAAGAGGAUGAAAUUUCUCGGUCUCCCACCGGGAUAACGGCAGCGACGUUCGUAGCCACCCUUAUUGACGGAAACCACGAAUGGAGAUGGCGGCCGUUCCAAGUCUUCGGCGGUCAUGGCGCUUCGGUGGAUCGUCACGCUGCCACAGAUGAAGAGGAAAUGGCGAUAAGGCGCUUCAACUAGGGAGGAGAACGGUGGCUUCACCACAGCUCCACCUCUCUGACAGUGAAAUGGUCAUGGUGGUUGCUUCAUGGGUUCGAAAUCUCACGGUGAUGGUGGCGCGGCGGCAGAAGAAAACGCAAAGAGGGUAGUGGCCGAGAAACAGCAGCGGCGACAAGCUUCGUUGGCGCUAGCAAUAGUGGUCAUCGGUCUUGAUGAUCGGCGGCUGAGGAGGCUCCAAUGGUGGUGAGCGUCUACCGGAAGUGAAAAGGGAGGUAUAAGGGGGUGACGGUUGUAUAGGGUGUGCUAUGGUUAGGGUUGGAUCGGUGCUUAUGGGUCUAUAUACCCUGAUCCCAAAAACAUGUUGCCAUAAUGGCAGGAUUGGUCCCUCCCCCAUCAAUAUCUUUGCAAACCAACUCCAAAAUUUACUCUUUAUACCCCUGCUCCUUUACAAAUUAAGUCUAAUACUUUCCAAAUAGCUCCUUAGCCUCCAAAAUCUUUUCAAAUGAAGUCCCAAAAGUUACCAUGUAACCCCUGGAGUUCAAAUCUUGUCGUUUCACUUCCCGAAACCAACACUUUAUUAAUUAUUAUUCGAUUUUAAGCACAAAUAAUAUAAAAUAAUAAUAAUAAUUACUUCCCAAGGUUCCUAAUUUAUUGUCUAAUUACUUUACUUAAAACGGGAUGUUACAACUCUCCCCCACUUAAAUUUGAUUUCGUCCUCGAAACCGUUUCUUGUCAUUCCUUACACACAAACAACUUGAGCUACUUGGCUACAAUCCCGAGCAUAACUCUAGCCUUUCCAAGGCAACGAUAUCCAACCCUUGCAGGGUUCUAAAACCAGGAAAAUAAACAAAUUCCUUACAAUAUGAUCACAACUACUCAAUCCGAAAUAUGGAGUCUCGAGAUGGUCUGGCUUCUUAACAGACUGCCCACCCUGGAUCAUUGUCGAAUGAAUUUCACUUAACUCCCAAUCUGCUACUCAACUUCUGAUAACCUGAGGUUCCCACUAGAAAACAGAAUUACAAAUCCCACACUGCUAACUAUGAUCCUUUAGUUCCCGAACCACAUACAUAUAAUAACCCGCUCAUAAUCACAAAUACUCAUACCUGGCCCAAUCCGCCUCGGGUUGGAAUACCAGGCAUGCCUACGACGGGUCCAGUCAUCCCUAGGAUGGAAUACCCUCGUAUCACGCACAUGUUUGGUCCAAUCAACCCUCGGGUUGGAAUACCAAACACGUCAGGUCCAAUCAGUCAUAGGGUUCGGUCAUCCUCGGGAUGGAAUAGCAUAGAUAAGAAUACCACUAUAUACGAACUCCGGUCUAAACUCACAACAUGAUGUUCAGGGACCUACCCUUGUAUUUCGUACUAAAUCUUCUGAUUCCUUGCAGCCGAUUGCGGCUCGCUCGAACCUCAAAAAUGUGUCCAUUCCGAAAGCGCUCUAACAGAUGAAUGAACUAUUAUGAUCACUAGUCCCACAACCUAUGAUUGGAAUACCCCUACGAGGUCCUCAGCAUAGGUCUGGAUUGCCUCUGAGCCCACAGCAUGAGUCUGGUAUGCCCCACCUGACCCUCAGUUCAUGACUGGAAUGCUCCUGAUAAAUGAUCAACCUUAUCCAAAAGAAAAGGUCUAACCAACAUCCUUUACAACACCAACCUGCACCACAAUGCUGAAAUCCCACUAUACACGAUCCACCUAUAGAAAAGUUGCUUACCCAAUAUCUACUAAGACCUACCUGGUCUCAAUUUGUUCGCCAAUCAUCUGAAAUACCGGGCUCCAGCCCGGUCGCUGAGCUAAAGGGCUCCCACAUAGUCGUCCCACAUGACUUCUGGAUGAAAUCCUUCUCUGAAACUAGUUGCCACUAGUUAACAUGCCACUGCGAAUUUAAUAACUUUCUGAUCCAACCGAUCGGAUCCAUGUGUCGAAUCCUGUUGUUACCAAAUCCACGGCUAAAGCGAUUGCUACAUGACCAAUGGUGGCCUUACGUCAUCAACAACCUUAAGCAAUCCAUUGCUUCCUUGAUCUCUCAACUAUAAUGACAUUCCUACAGUCUUAUCGUUGGCUUAACUAGGCCUAAUCCCUCUGGGGAAAACCAUAAACCCAUUCGUGGAUUUACAUAUCCUCACUGCUACACUCGAACCGAUGGUUACUACUGCCCCCUUCCGCGUCCUAACAACGCGCUCAUGCUAUCUACCAACCUAGUGAAUGUUGCGGCUACACCCGCAGAUUUAUAACACUUCUCACACUAUCUGAUCACAAUUGAAUGCUACAACUACUCCUAUAGUCUUACAACACUUCCCAUACCAACUGAUCGCUAGUGAAUGCUACGGCUACCCCCGCAGUCUUACAACACUUUCCAUACUGGUCGAACACGCACUCGACCUAACACACAACUGAAUUUAAUUCAUGGCUAGAAUCCCAACAUGAUUUCCCAAGUUCUGCUAUCAAGCACUGAGAAGACGCAAUUUACAUGCUGAGGAGUUUUACCGAACUCCCCACUCAAAUCACACUUAAACCAAGAAGCCACUACAGUUGUCUUCCUUCCCGAAAACGAUGUGUAACUUAUCCCGAUUUCAAAACCGAUCCUGCUUCUGUAUCCCGGGAUGAUUCUCCCCCACUUAGAUUCAACCAAGUCUUCACAAUACAUGAAAAUGGGAGAAUUCCCAAUCUUUCUCACUUUCCAACAGUCGAUCUGAUAACAACCAAGUCCUACUAAUUAUUGCUCCAUUACUGUCCAAUCCCAAAUUAUCACACACUUCUAAGAACUAGGAUAACACUUCUUGAAAACCAGUAAAACUGAUAGUCCCUAAUGUUUGAAUGAUCCCACACUCAAAUCUUGAAGACCAAAAGACAGAUACCACCAUUAAUACCUCAGCAACGAGCUACUUCCUUUGGCGAUUUCAUCCGCCGAUCAAUAACGGUUACUAAAAGCACUGAAUCCUGACAAUGAUGAAUAACCAUCCUGUGGGACCCUGUCCGCAGACCUCCCACAUAAUACCCUUCUUCCCAAAGUGCUCCAACAAAUCCCCCGCUCUCGACUCUAGAACUCAUAUCAUUCAGGGCCUCGCACCCUGACUCACUCACCAGCUCAAUCAUCCACAGUUGAACUGUAGUAGCUGAAACAACUUGAUCCUGGGGUCACAAGCCUGCUCAAUCCUUCGAGCUCGUAAACUGAAAGGGCACAUCCUUGCCCUAGAAAACAACAUUCCAAUCCUAUUAAUUAACCAUUCUAAUUCCAGCUGCAUAACUCCAGCUGAACAUAAUCAUUACUCCUUUCCGGAGUCCCCGCGACUCACAUUCCGACCUCGAGCAAAACCCUCGAAGCCUCAAAUCUAGAAAUGCAUGUGCUAGACUCUCCCGCCUAACCCGCAAAAUGUAACAAGUACAGAACAUCUCCCUGAUCCGAGGUAACUGCAGCCCUCUACUUAUCAGAAUAUAUCCCAGUCACAUGUCCUGGUACUGAAAAGCUCGACCAGCUCUUCCCCUUGCCGUCGUUACAACUGAUAUAACUAUCUUAGCGCUCGUAGAAAUACUCAACCAUGGAGGUCUUAAUAGACUAAAACAUCCCCAGAAACUAUCCCCAGAUAAUGUAAAAUCCCGAAAUAUCAAUAGUAGAGUUGAAGGGCAAAAAGAGUAAAUUGGGAAAGAGUGACUCGGCGAGUCCAUGUGCGGACUCGGCGAGUAGAGUCGCGACUUGGUCGUGUGUUAAGUGGCCGACUCGGCAAGUCAGCGUAAUGGACUCGGCGAGUAGGCGCUGAGUGGAGAAAACCCUAAUUCUCGGGGUUGAGCCUUAUAUAAAGAUCACUAUGUUUUCCUCCCAGCCUCUUUAUCACCCCUUGAGCCCCAGAAAACCCUAAAUCACGGAGAAGCACCAUUGUUGAGUGGAUUGGAGCUUGGAGAAGUAAUGGUUGAAGGAAUUUUGGGAAGAUUAAAGGCUUGGAGCAAGGGGCUUUGCUUGGGUUCGAAUUACAUUGCAGUUGGGGCAUCACUUAGAGGUAAUAUCUCGUUAUUGACCUGUUGUUAUGUUGUUUCUUCAUUUUGGGGUGUGUGAGAAAUUGUCUAUGGAUGAAAUGGGAAGUCUAGAGGUUAGAUCUGAGGUUGCUACCUCAGAUCUGGAAGGGAGAAGAAUCAGAGAGCAUGAAAGUCCCUGUGUUGGAGUGUUUAGUGAAGCUUACAUGUCCCAAACCCUAGCCCAAAUGUGCAAACGACUUAGAUCUCUUUGGAUUCACGUAAAGUUUGCCACUUUACGUGAUGGAUGAGUGGUAGGAGACUAGAUCUAUGUUUUGGAUUAAUUGCAUGGCCUGAGAUGCUUCUGUAUGGAUUCAGACCGGUGGUACGCGACAAGUCACAUGGGGCGACUCGACGAGUUGCUUGAAGAUGGCCUGGAACUCGACGAGUUGGAANUUGGACUCGGCGAGUCUUGUCGAAGAGUCCCAAUAUUCUCUGGUUGAGUCGAGAAUCGAUGAGUCAAGGGAUGACUCGAUGAGUUGUGUGCGAGUGAACUCAGAGUUGUUGGACUCAGCGAGUCUCGGGGUGACUCGGCGAGUUAGGUCGUAGAUUGAGUGAAGUUCUUAUUAUGGGAACUCGACGAGUCACAGGGUUGACUCGGCGAGUAGGGUCAGUCAGGGGUUGACUUAGACUGAGGACUUUGAUUUCGACCAAGGGUUGGCCGUUGACUUUUAGGGUUUGGUCAGCGAUGUGGCCUUUGGGCCAAGAGAGACGUAAAAUAGUCUUUUACCCAUAAGAGGGUGUUAUGAGAGGAUUUAUUCUAGUCUCGAGAGUUAUAUUCAUGAGAGUAUUUGCCUUACGUGUUAGGCGGUGGCGAGUUCGAGAUUCAAGUGUGGGGAUAUCUGCUUUCUGCUUGCCAGGUGAGUCUUCUCACUAUACUUUACCUUGAGUAGGUAACCAGAGUUAUGUGACAGAGUAUUUGUAUNAGUAGGGUCAGUCAGGGGUUGACUUAGACUGAGGACUUUGAUUUCGACCAAGGGUUGGCCGUUGACUUUUAGGGUUUGGUCAGCGAUGUGGCCUUUGGGCCAAGAGAGACGUAAAAUAGUCUUUUACCCAUAAGAGGGUGUUAUGAGAGGAUUUAUUCUAGUCUCGAGAGUUAUAUUCAUGAGAGUAUUUGCCUUACGUGUUAGGCGGUGGCGAGUUCGAGAUUCAAGUGUGGGGAUAUCUGCUUUCUGCUAGCCAGGUGAGUCUUCUCACUAUACUUUACCUUGAGUAGGUAACCAGAGUUAUGUGAUCAGAGUAUUUGUAUGCUAUAUGUACGUGAUGUGUUGUACUGCAUUAUUUCUAUGUGAUUUGUGUUGUGCAUGUUUAUAGAGUUGGAACCGGAAGGUUCACAGAGUUAGAACCUGAGGGUUCACAGAGUUUGGGUGCACGGACCCAUAGAGUUAUAGCCUCGAGUGGCUAAUAUGUGUUAUGUGUGGUAUUUUGGGGAACUCACUAAGCUUCGUGCUUACAGUGUUUUGUGUGAUGUUUUUCAGGUUUCUUUCAGUAUCACGGGACGGCACCGGCUUGAUUGUACACACCAGAGAAAGAGUCAUGUUUUGGAGGAUCCUGGUUUUCUAUGCAAGUGAAAAUGGAGUCAUGUUUUGUAAAUCGACUACGAAUGAGAUUUUAAACAAGUGUUUCUAAGAAUAAAAUGAUUAUUUUAAAUGAAAAAUUUGUCUUGAAAUUUACGGUGUUACAAGUUGGUAUCAGAGCCUUGGUUUGAGGGAUUCGGAUGCGCCUUCGGGUAAAUCUGGACUCAAACUAAGGAAGUAAGAAAAGUUUUAAGGAAAUAAUUUUCUAAAAAUGAAUAAAAGUUCAAAGAGGAAGCAAGAAGGAGCAGUGUGUACAAUCAGCCAGAGCCCGAACGGUGAUUUCCCAAAAUACCCUUAUUUUUGUGUUAUGAGAUAUGUAUGAUGCACUUUAUGAGAUACUAUUGCAUGCUAGAGACAGGCUAGAUAUUUCAUAUGUUAGGACUAGAGUGGCCUGAUUUGUGAUGCCUUAGCCUAGGACUCGUUGUUAUAGGGGUUAUGCUUUUGAGUAUGUGAUGAGUGAGAGUAUCCAGUUAGAACCCAUGAGGGGUAGAGUUACAGAGUUCGGUGGUACUUUCGAGGAUGAUCCGAGAAGGUGGAGUUAUCACAGAGAGGGAGUCCUAUGUAUUCUUCGAUGCUCGAAUGCUGCUUGCUUUGUGCUUUGAGGAAUUCUUGAUGAUGGGAGUCAGCUACCAAGUGAAUAUGACGAUAUUCAGGAGGUAGAUGGCUGGCAUCAUUAGGAUUUCUUCAGCAGCUGAUAGCAAAGAAGUGGGAGGACAACGAAAGAGCCUAGGGAGUAACCGUAUCCAGAUGAGUGCGCUUGUAGAAUAGAGAAUUUCGCUGGGGAGCGAGCACGCGCGAUGGGAUUGGUGAAAGAGCAGGUCGAGCAGCUAUUUAGAAGCUCUGGGAUGGUCCGUGUGGAAAGUAUGGGUAGAUGUGGCAGGUAGUAUGGGCCCGUACUACUGAAAGCAAAGGACCCAUACUUGAUACAGGGAGUAUUCUGAAGGUUCUAAGGAGCAGAUUUGAGGGGUGAUGUUAUGGUUUGAGUACCAUACAUCGGAGCGGAUCGAGGAGUGAUGUUAUGGUUCGGGUAUCAUACAUCAGGGCAGAUUGAGGAGUGAUGUUAUGGUUCGGGUACCAUACAUCAGAGCAGAUUGAGGAGUGAUGUUAUGGUUUGAGUACCAUACAUCAGAGCGGAUCGAGGAGUGAUGUUAUGGUUCGGGUACCAUACAUCAGGGCAGAUUGAGGAGUGAUGUUAUGGUUCGGGUACCAUACAUCAGGGCAGAUUGAGGAGUGAUGUUAUGGUUCGGGUACCAUACAUCAGGGCAGAUUGAGGAGUGAUGUUAUGGUUCGGGUACCAUACAUCAGGGCAGAUUGAGGAGUGAUGUUAUGGUUCGGGUACCAUACAUCAGGGCAGAUUGAGGAGUGAUGUUAUGGUUCGGGUACCAUACAUCAGGGCAGAUUGAGGAGUGAUGUUAUGGUUCGGGUACCAUACAUCAGGGCAGAUUGAGGAGUGAUGUUAUGGUUCGGGUACCAUACAUCAGGGCAGAUUGAGGAGUGAUGUUAUGGUUCGGGUACCGUACAUCAGAGCAGAUUGAGGAGUGAUGUUAUGGUUCGGGUACCGUACAUCAGAGCAAAUUGAGGAGUGAUGUUAUGGUCCGGGUACCAUACAUCGGAGCGGAUUGGGGAGUGAUGUUAUGGUUAGGGUACCAUACACCGGGGCAUAUUGAGAAGAGAUGUCAUGGAAUGAGUACCAUGGUUCGUAGUGAAUGAUGUUUGUGGUUCUCCGGUUAUUCGGUCACGAGUAAGUUCGAAGAGGCAUCCCUUGAGAGGGAGAUGGAGAGCCCCUCAGAGUAUUUUAGUAAGGAGUCAGUGAGAAGGGAGAAUUUCGAUCCGAGUUGGGCGAUCAGUCGAUAAAGGAGAUGUCACCUCCUAUGAUCUGGGAGGUACUGAUUAUGCUCGUGUGAAAGAUAUGAGAAGCAUGAUGUUUUGGUUUUGGGUUUAGGGGUAAACCCUGCAGGUCAUCAUUGAUGAUGAUUUCCCACCAAUGUAUCAGGUAGCAUGUGUGCCGCGAGGCAGUGAUCUAUCAUGAGCAGAUAGUCAGUUGAGACUGGGUUAGUCGAGGGCCACGCUAUACCUAAUUGAGUUUAGUCGGGUGUACGGUAGUGGUAUCAGCGGGUAGUUCAGUCGAGUUUACCGGUGCCGAGAGUUUUCUAUCCAUGGGGUGUUGAAUUUGGGAGUGGGUUCCUGUUCUUGGGAUGAUCCCGGUGUUGGAGCGUUGGUUAAAGAGUUGAGGUGAGGGGUACGAUGAUUUUAUGGUUCAGUCUAUGAGCCCGGGAUGUUAUCGAGAAGUUGAGUUGUUUGGUACUAAAUUGGUACGAGAUUUGGAACGACUAGAGGCAGACGUGACGAGAAGUUCUUGAGGAGUUCACCAGAGGUUCAGAGUAUAUGAGGUCGAUUCAUUUCCUUAAAGGGGGAUUAUCGGGCGUUGUGUAGCACUUUCCGGGGGCAGGUGCGAUUUUGCUGGAGAAUGUAGUUAUGGGUUAGUUGCAUGCUAAUUGGUGAUGGUUCGAACCCUAAGUGGGGGAGAACCGGGUGCUGUAUGUAAGAAAGCAGAGAUUUGUCAAGAGCAGUUAUAAGUGGAGUAUAGAGAUAUGCAGUAAGAAAUCAUGAGACCAAAGAUGUCGGUGAUUGAGGAAAGGGGUCAGAGUGAGUUAAUGCGGGAAGUACUUGUUUGAGAAGGAUGAAUGUCUCCACGACAGGUGUUUAUUAGUCAUGAAUCUGGUAUGGGUCAGUGUUGGGGAAAGUAGAUAAAGAAUGAUUGGGUAGCCAACUCCCGGGUCGGUAUGCGUAUCCUUGUUUGGAUUUUGAGCGGCGGGAAAAAGGGUUUCGGAGAACUAUCAGCAUGUUUCGUAGCGUUAGCGUUUCUUCGUAUUGCAAUUGAGAAAUUGAAUACACCGAAGUUGCAACUUGGGAAAAAUGAAGAUCUAGUUAUGGGGUUCAGAGGGAAUGUAUUAUUGCAUCUAUAUGGUGCUUGGAGCAGGAGAUCUGUGGUUGUGGCAGGAUCUGGUGAUGUUCGGUGGGGGUGUUCCGAGGUAUCCGGGUAUUAAUAUCUUUAUUUCAAAGUUAUUCGUGAAUCUUGAGUUGAGACGACUGGUGGUAUAUCAGGUAUCUAUGGAUCUAUUGAGAGCCUUCGAGUAUGGGCAUCCAGGGAGAUUACUUGGGAGAGUGGAUCUUCGCAAGGGUGGGCAUCUGUUAUGACGGUCGCCUCCAGAGUCUGUGAUGAAUAUUCGAGACGAGUAUGGGUAGCCGCCUAUGAUAGUCUGUGGAGCACGAGCUAGUGGAGUCAGAGGGUGUUGUGAUACUGCAGAGAGCCGUAGUACUCACUAGUCAGAGGGUGUUGUGAUACUGCGGAGAGCCGUAGUACUCACUAGUCAGAGGGUGUGAUACUACGGAGAGCCGUAGUACUCACUAGUCAGAGGGUGUAGUGAUACUGCGGGGAGCCGUAGUACUCACUAGUCCGAGGGUGCUGUGAUACCGCAAGGAGCUGUAGUGUUCACUAGAUGGCAAGAGAGUGUGAUGAUGGAAUGUUCUCCGAUCAGUGUAUGAUGUGGAAGAGUUUUGGGCUUGAGUAUCCCUAGAUGGCAAGAGAGUGUGAUGGGGGCGAGACUGGGGUCCCCGUCUCUGUCGGGGAAUGUGGUGAGAUGCGCAAGGGAUAUGCGCAGCAGAAACCAGAGAUCAGAGUGGAGACGAUCCUCGGUUGGAUUGUACUUUCUUGCAUAAGGAAAAGAGAAUUUCGUGACUUGCGUGUCACAGGGCUGGGAUAGUGGUCACGGGGAGGAAGUUAGUGGGAUAUUUGGAUCAUGAUUUGGGUAACCUUUGGAGGCUCAGCUGUGGAGUCAAAAGCUGACCUGGUGGCCAGUCUCGAAGAGGGAUAUGAGAUGAGCUAGAGCUUAUCAUGAUGAUGUCUGAGGACACCUCAUAGGGAGUGAACGAUUCAGAUGCUCAAAGACAUGCUUCGGGCAUGUGUAUUAGAUUUCGGAGGGUGUUGCGGCACGUAUUUAUCCUUGGUUGAGUUAUCCUAUUUCAACAUCCAUCAUUAGUGCAUUGGUAUGCCACCCUUUGUGCUGUUGUAUGGGAGGAAGUGUCGGACCCUCAUUUGCUGAGGAAAGUGUCGAUUCGCGGAAGUGGAAAGUUGUAGUGAGAAUGGAUGAUUUGGAGUAUGACGGUCGAACAUUGUGUCUGUGACAGUGGUAUGGAAUGACAUCAUGAUGGGAUGUCUGCUGAGGAUGCGGAAGGGAUUCCGCGGGUGUAGAGCCAAGAGUCUCAGGAUGGAUGUAAGGAUGGAGUCUGGGACUCCCAGCUUGAUUCUGAUCAAGGGCCGUGUGCGUAGUGGUGGUGUCUCCUGGUGAUGUUAGAGAUGUCCUCAGUGCGACGGGUUCUCCUAACCCAAGAGUGCGAAGGUUGGUGCGGUUUGGGUGCUUGAUUGCAAGAAGAGGACUCAUGAGAGUUGCUCUGGGAUUGAAGAGUGGGCCUUUCUGUCGUCACGGAUUGGAUAGAAUGGGAUUCGGAUCGGGGAUCCGAUGGUUCAUGGCUUCUAACCCUUAUGGGUCGAGUGAUUGUUGAGAUUUGGGUCAGUGAUGUUUCAUGGGUAAUUCUCGGAUCGUUGAGUGUGGUUAUCAGAGGGUACAUCCGGUGCCCGGUUUGAGACAGUGGUCAGGACACCGUAAGGAAAGGAAAAGUGUGUUCGAGUUUCGAUGGGUAUGCCUUGUGAGACCUGGUCCGAUUAAGGCCAGGUGGCACGUCGUGGGAGUAUUUCUAGAGUUGAGUUGCUGUAGGCUUCGAGGGCGAAGCCUAAUUUAAGUGGGGGAGAAUUGUAACAUCCCGAAAUAUCAAGAGUAGGGUUGAAGGGAAAAAUGANNNNNNNNNNNNNNNNNNNNNNNNNNNNNNNNNNNNNNNNNNNNNNNNNNNNNNNNNNNNNNNNNNNNNNNNNNNNNNNNNNNNNNNNNNNNNNNNNNNNNNNNNNNNNNNNNNNNNNNNNNNNNNNNNNNNNNNNNNNNNNNNNNNNNNNNNNNNNNNNNCUUGGUCGCGUGUUAAAUGGCCGACUCGGCGAGUCAGUGUAAUGGACUCGGCGAGUAGGCGCUGAGUGGAGAAAACCCUAAUUCUCGGGGUUGAGCCUUAUAUAAAGGUCACUAUGUUUUCCUCCCAGCCUCUUUAUCAUCCCUUGAGCCCCAGAAAACCCUAAAUCGCGGAGAAGCACCAUUUUUGAGUGGAUUGGAGCUUGGAGAAGUAAUGGUUGAAGGAAUUUUGGGAAGAUUGAAGGCUUGGAGCAAGAGGCUUUGCUUGGGUUCGAAUUGCAUUGCAGUUGGGGCAUCACUUAGAGGUAAUAUCUCGUUAUUGACCUGUUGUUAUGUUGUUUCUUCAUUUUGGGGUGUGUGAGAAAUUGUCUAUGGAUGAAAUGGGAAGUCUAGAGGUUAGAUCUGAGGUUGCUACCUCAGAUCUGGAAGGGAGAAGAAUCAGAGAGCAUGAAAGUCCCUGUGUUGGAGUGUUUAGUGAAGCUUACAUGUCCCAAACCCUAGCCCCAAUGUGCAAACGACUUAGAUCUCUUUGGAUUCACGUAAAGUUUGCCACUUUACGUGAUGGAUGAGUGGUAGGAGACUAGAUCUAUGUUUUGGAUUAAUUGCAUGGCCUGAGAUGCUUCUGUAUGGAUUCAGACCGGUGGUACGCGACAAGUCACAUGGGGCGACUCGACGAGUUGCUUGAAGAUGGCCUGGAACUCGACGAGUUGGAAGAACAACUCGACGAGUAGGUUGAAGAUAGCCUUGGACUCGACGAGUCCAUUUGGACUCGGCGAGUCUUGUCGAAGAGUCCCAAAUAUUCUCUGGUUGAGUCGAGAAUCUGUGAGUCGAGGGAUGACUCGGUGAGCCGUGUGCGAGUGGACUCAGAGUUGUUGGACUCAGCGAGUCUCGGGGUGACUCGGCGAGUUAGGUCGCAGAUUGAGUGAAGUUCUGAUUAUGGGAACUCGACGAGUCACAGGGUUGACUCGGCGAGUAGGGUCAGUCAGGGGUUGACUUAGACUGAGGACUUUGAUUUCGACCAAGGGUUGGCCGUUGACUUUUAGGGUUUGGUCAUCGAUGUGGCCUUUGGGCCAAGAGAGACGUAAAAUAGUCUUUUACCCAUAAGAGGGUGUUAUGAGAGGAUGUAUUCUAGUCUCGAGAGUUAUAUUCAUGAGAGUAUUUGCCUUACGUGUUAGGCGGUGGCGAGUUCGAGAUUCAAGUGUGGGGAUAUCUGCUUUCUGCUAGCCAGGUGAGUCUUCUCACUAUACUUUACCUUGAGUAGGUAACCAUAGUUAUGUGAUCAGAGUAUUUGUAUGCUAUAUGUACGUGAUGUGUUGUACUGCAUUAUUUCUAUGUGAUUUGUGCUGUGCAUGUUUAUAGAGUUGGAAUCGGAAGGUUCCCAGAGUUAGAACCUGAGGGUUCACAGAGUUUGGGUGCACGGACCCAUAGAGUUAUAGCCUCGAGUGGCUAAAAUGUGUUAUGUGUGGUAUUUUGGGGAACUCACUAAGCUUCGUGCUUACAGUGUUUUGUGUGAUGUUUUUCAGGUUUCUUUCAGUAUUACGGGACGGCACCGGCUUGAUUGUACACACCAGAGAAAGAGUCAUAUUUUGGAGGAUCCUGGUUUUCUAUGCAAGUGAAAAUGGAGUCAUGUUUUGUAAAUCGACUAUGAAUGAGAUUUUAAACAAGUGUUUCUAAGAAUAAAAUGAUUAUUUUAAAUGAAAAUUUUGUCUUGAAAUUUACGGUGUUACAGAUAAACCCGAUCACCUCCUCCCGGAUGAUCUCACUGAUGCGGUCCUCUGACAAUGCUGGUCUAUCCUGGCUUCCAGCUCCCGAUCCUAACCUGGAUCCGAUCUGAAGAUGUCUCGUAACCACCAUUCUGGUAAAACACCAGAAGGAUCACUGAUAACUCAUAUAGAGACAGGGAACCAACUCCCAACCCAACCCUAGCGAUUGUGACCUACUUGACACGCGUAUGGGUCUUGUGCUUUCAGUAGUAUGGGCCCCUACUACCUUCCACACCUACCCAUAUUUGUCUCAAGUAUCACCACAACGCCCUAACUGAAUACACAACAUGGCGAGCGCUUAAUCCUCACUCCUAGAGGAAUGUUAAAUAUCUCAUAACUGGCCUCCCUGCCUCACACAAUCUACCCAUCCAUGAAACUUCCACCAACUCUGCACCACUAGUGUAUGCUAGCCAUAUAUAAUGCUGGACCCUAUAGGCUUUCGAAUAUCCAAUCCUACCCUAAGCUCCCAAUCAAACAAGAAUAGAACAUAAGGCCAAAUCAAACAUUCUUAGGCUAUAAUAUCUUAGUUAUGUAUAACCGUGAUGCAUGCACUAAACAACUACAAUAAUGAUGUCAAUCUCAUAUAAAGGAGACCCUAGGCUAGCAGGCAUCAUGUAAUCAGGCAAUUCUAUCAUGCAAUUCCUGAUGAUCCCUAGCAUAGUACUAACAUGCUGUUCUAACAUAUCUCAUAAUCAAAUAACUUGUAUGGUAUUUUCGGGUCUACUUACUGGCUUCGGCUGAUCGUACACCUUACAUCCUCCUUUACAUAUUUUGAAAACCAUUUGAGAAUCAUUUUGAAAAAUCUAUUCCUUGAUUUGAGACUGGAGUCACACGAGUGUUCCUCCAAUUCACUCAAACCAAGGCUCUGAUACCAACUAGUAACACCCCAAAAAAUUCAAGCCAAUUUAAAACAUUUUAAACAUCCAAAAACCAUUAGUUAUUACAAACUUGUUUUCAAAAUGUAUAAUAUCAGAGUAUCCUAGAAACAUAGUCAUAAAAAGUGAGGAGUUGUACGAUCAUACCUUUGCCCUGUCACGAUCCCCUGAUGCACCUAAAACAAUAAACUGAAACUGUAAGCCCGAAAUCUUAGUGAGUUACCCCCAAAAUACCGAUACACAUACAGUCCACAUAAACAUAUCAUAACAAACUGAACAGAACAGCAUGCAAUGGAUCCACAGCUUUACAAGCUGGAUUACCCCUGGGCCCUCAGUAUGAGUCUGGAAUGCCUAUCGGGCCCUCAGCUCGUAUCUGGAAUACCAUCGAGCCCUCAGUAUGAGUCUGGAAUGCCUAUCAGGCCCUCAGCUCGUAUCUGGAAUGCUCCCGAGUCCUCAGUAUGAGUCUGGAAUGCCUACCGGGCCCUCAGCUCAUAUCUGGAAUACUCUAGGGUUUGUUGGCUACCACACGGAGCAGUACCACCUCCACCCAUCCCACAUAACAUGUCGACAUGUAAUAGAUAAAUGCACAUACAGGUAAUAAAUCAGUGUCACAGGUAGUCCUACAGACCUACCCUCUAGCAUAUCAACUAGCAUGCGUAACCAACUCAUACUCAACAUAAUACAACUACUAGGAUAUCACAUCCAAUGGGUCGGCCUUGGUGCCUUAGACCCCUUAGUAUAGCGAGGAUAACUCACAUGGCACUGUUAAAGUCCC
Molecule: long non-coding RNA, 15940 nt
Filed under: Lactuca sativa (garden lettuce)
Lineage: Eukaryota; Viridiplantae; Streptophyta; Magnoliopsida; Asterales; Asteraceae
Description: long non-coding RNA (LSAT_LNC000651)
Source: RNAcentral